GUGGGGAUGGCUUAUUUCUGCUCCGUGUUAUCUGGACCCCAGCUGGGAAGAUUCAAAUGACUGGAGAUGUUUCAAGCAUCACUUCUGCUACACUCUCUUGAUCAAGAAAGUCACAAACCUACCAAGACCCUAAGGUUUCCAGGUCUUAAGUAAGGAAAUCACUACCAAGUCCCUUUCAAGGUCAAUUGUCGGUUGUUUGGCUUCUUCACUGACCAACUGAAGAAGAGGAUCAGUCCAGGAAGGAGUGUAAAAUGAGAUGAAGGGCGAAGCUGGACUGGAAUGAACACUUUAGUGAAAAGAAGAAAGGAAGUCAGAAAAUAGGGAAGGAGAAAGGGAGGAAAAGAAGGAGAAAGGAAGAGAGGGACGAGAUCACCUCCUUGGUUUUACACAGCUACAUAGAGCCAGGGUAUAGAUGAGCCCGUGGAUUCUCCUGGACCAACUGAGGAAACAAACAGCAAGGGGAGAUAGAAGCCUGAUCCAGUACUCAGAGAAGCUGAGGAAGAAAAACAAAAAUGGAUGAAACACUGACAGUUGCAGACUUUUAUUUGAAGUUGUAAAAUCUAACGAAUAAAUACGAUGUCAGCAG
Long non-coding RNA from Equus caballus (horse), 586 nucleotides. RefSeq lists it as uncharacterized. The record is from RefSeq and is a predicted model, not a curated record. NCBI's taxonomy places the organism in Eukaryota, Metazoa, Chordata, Mammalia, Perissodactyla, Equidae.